AAUGAACGCUGGCGGCAGGCCUAACACAUGCAAGUCGAACGGGUCCUUCGGGACUAGUGGCGGACGGGUGAGUAACGCGUGGGAACGUGCCCUUUGCUACGGAAUAGCCCCGGGAAACUGGGAGUAAUACCGUAUAAGCCCUACGGGGGAAAGAUUUAUCGGCAAAGGAUCGGCCCGCGUUGGAUUAGGUAGUUGGUGGGGUAAUGGCCUACCAAGCCGACGAUCCAUAGCUGGUUUGAGAGGAUGAUCAGCCACACUGGGACUGAGACACGGCCCAGACUCCUACGGGAGGCAGCAGUGGGGAAUCUUAGACAAUGGGGGAAACCCUGAUCUAGCCAUGCCGCGUGAUCGAUGAAGGCCUUAGGGUUGUAAAGAUCUUUCAGGUGGGAAGAUAAUGACUGUACCACCAGAAGAAGCCCCGGCUAACUCCGUGCCAGCAGCCGCGGUAA
Molecule: ribosomal RNA, 449 nt
Filed under: uncultured bacterium
Lineage: Bacteria
Description: partial 16S ribosomal RNA
Rfam family: Bacterial small subunit ribosomal RNA
Source: RNAcentral